AACUCACCAGUGCCGACGGACAGAUGAAAGCCAGUGUGAUGAGCUUGCUGGAUUGUUCGAGAGGUAGUGCAUGGCCGCCGUCAGUUCGUACCGUAAGGCGUUCUGUUAAGUCAGAUAACGANCGAGACCCUCAUCCCUAUUUGCUAAGGUUUCUCCCUUCGGGGCGAGAUCACAGGACUAUAGGGAGACCGCUGGCGAGAAGUCAGAGGAAGGUGAGGGCAACGGUAGGUCAGUAUGCUCCGAAUGCACUGGGNUACACGCGCAAUACAAAGGACGGGACAAUGGGCCGCUGCUCCGAGAGGAAAGAUGGCUAUCCCGAAACCCGUUCGUAGUUCGGAUUGAGGGCUGUAACUCGCCCUCAUGAAGCUGGAUUAGGUAGUAAUCGCGUGUCAAAAAGGCGCGGUGAAUAUGCCCCUGCUCCUUGCAC
This 427-nucleotide ribosomal RNA is filed under the name uncultured archaeon. Its description in RNAcentral is "bacterial SSU rRNA". It matches the Rfam family "Archaeal small subunit ribosomal RNA", at positions 924 to 1342 of the family's 1478-position model. The record is from RNAcentral.